This 492-nucleotide ribosomal RNA is filed under the name uncultured bacterium. RNAcentral describes it as "partial 16S ribosomal RNA". It matches the Rfam family "Bacterial small subunit ribosomal RNA", at positions 28 to 507 of the family's 1533-position model. The record is from RNAcentral.
GAUGAACGCUGGCGGCGUGCCUAACACAUGCAAGUCGAACGGAAGCACAGUAAGCUCUUGCUUCUACUGUUGGCGACGGGCGGACGGGUGAGGCGUGCAUCGCAUUCUUCUUUUUCUUGGAUAAUAUCGGAAGACCAGAUCCGCUAAUAGAGCAUAUUAUCUACCGCAUAAUUCAAUAGUGAAUCAGACUCUUCGCGUUUCAAUUAGCCGAUGUCGCAUUAGCUAGUUGGCAGGGUAAAGGCGCACCAAGUCAACGAUCCGUAGCCGAUCUGAGAGGAUGAUCAGCCACACUGGAACUGAGACACGGUCCAGACUCCUACGGGAGGCAGCAGUAGGGAAUCUUCCGCAAUGGGCGAAAGCCUGACGGAGCAACGCCGCGUGAGUGAUGAAGGCCUUCGGAUCGUAAAACUCUGUUAUUAGGGAAGAACAGAUGUAUAAGUAACUGUGCACAUCUUGACGGUACCUAAUGAGAAAGCCACGGCUAACUACGUG